Molecule: long non-coding RNA, 825 nt
Filed under: Mustela putorius furo (domestic ferret)
Lineage: Eukaryota; Metazoa; Chordata; Mammalia; Carnivora; Mustelidae
Description: lncRNA (ENSMPUG00000031368.1)
Source: RNAcentral
AUGUAUCUGGCUGAGACCCAGGGCUGGGACACCCCCACCCCCCCCCACCCCGCCCAGGGAAGGCUCCUUCCAGCCUCUUCCCGCUUCUCGGGGUCCUUGGCAGCUCUGAGCAGCCGUCGGCUUGUCGAGACUCACCGGAGCCCUUUCUCCACCAUCCAUGGUCGUCCUCCGUCCGUGUCGCUGUGCGUCUCUCCUCUUCCUGUAAUGACAUCACUCGCUGGACUUUGGGGUCCCCCUGGCGCGGAUGACGCCCUCUGGACUUGGUUACAGGUGCUGACGGUGUUUCCAACUAAAUCCAUGUUCUCAGGCUCCAGGUGGAUGCACCAGCAUCCCAGCCGCGCAAGAGGCAUGGCUGCUUGUCCACCGCCCCGGGGCAGCAAGGCCAGGCCCAGCGCCCUUCGCCAUGGGAAAUGGCGAAAUGGCGUCCGCUGAGCAAAGCAGGGCACGAUUUGGCGGAGCCCGGGAUGUUCGCAGGAGCUACAGGCGUCACCAUGACCCAACGUCUCAUCCCCCCCAGACCAAACUGUUCCCCUCGCGAGCCAUCCCCGCCCGGGCCCCUGGCUCCUGGCGACCGCUGCCCCACUUUCUGUGGACGAGCGUGGACGUGUCGCGCACGUGGAGUCACUCGCCGGGCGGCCUUCUGUGUUGGGUUCCCUCCCUGAGCGCGCCUGUUCUCACGGCCCACGCACCCCAGGCUCGUAGCGGAACUGCAGCUAUGUUUGGGGGCGCCUGGCUGGCUUGGUCGGCCGAGCGACCGUUGAUCCCAGGGCUGUGCGUUCGAGCCCCACACUGAAUGCAGAGAGCACUUGAAAAUAAAACCUCGAU